This 429-nucleotide ribosomal RNA is filed under the name Bacteroidota bacterium. RNAcentral describes it as "Bacteroidetes bacterium partial 16S ribosomal RNA". It matches the Rfam family "Bacterial small subunit ribosomal RNA", at positions 355 to 776 of the family's 1533-position model. The record is from RNAcentral. Lineage: Bacteria; Pseudomonadati; Bacteroidota.
UAGGGAAUCUUCGGCAAUGGGGGGAACCCUGACCGAGCAACGCCGCGUGAGUGAAGAAGGUUUUCGGAUCGUAAAGCUCUGUUGUUAAGGAAGAACGAGUGUGAGAAUGGAAAGUUCAUGCUGUGACGGUACUUAACCAGAAAGGGACGGCUAACUACGUGCCAGCAGCCGCGGUAAUACGUAAGGUCCGAGCGUUGUCCGGAAUCAUUGGGCGUAAAGGGUACGUAGGCGGGUAAGCAAGUUAGAAGUGAAAUCCUAUAGCUCAACUAUAGUAAGCUUUUAAAACUGCUCAUCUUGAGGUAUGGAAGGGAAAGUGGAAUUCCUAGUGUAGCGGUGAAAUGCGCAGAUAUUAGGAGGAAUACCGGUGGCGAAGGCGACUUUCUGGCCAUAACCUGACGCUGAGGUACGAAAGCGUGGGUAGCAAACAGG